AGCGAACGCUGGCGGCAGGCCUAACACAUGCAAGUCGAACGGACCCUUCGGGGUUAGUGGCGGACGGGUGAGUAACACGUGGGAACGUGCCUUUAGGUUCGGAAUAGCUCCUGGAAACGGGUGCGAAUGCCGAAUGUGCCCUUCGGGGGAAAGAUUUAUCGCCUUUAGAGCGGCCCGCGUCUGAUUAGCUAGUGGGUGAGGUAACGGCUCACCACGGCGACGAUCAGUAGCUGGUCUGCGAGGAUGACCAGCCACACUGGGACUGAGACACGGCCCAGACUCCUACGGGAGGCGGCAGUGGGGGAUCUUGCGCAAUGGGCGAAAGGCUGACGCAGCCAUGCCGGGUGAAUGAUGAAGGUCUUAGGAUUGUAAAAUUCUUUCACCGGGGACGAUAAUGACGGUACCCGGAGAAGAAGCCCCGGCUAACUUCGUG
RNAcentral lists this ribosomal RNA (433 nucleotides) under uncultured bacterium. RNAcentral's name for it is "partial 16S ribosomal RNA". It matches the Rfam family "Bacterial small subunit ribosomal RNA", at positions 29 to 507 of the family's 1533-position model. The record is from RNAcentral.